Molecule: long non-coding RNA, 596 nt
Filed under: Homo sapiens (human)
Lineage: Eukaryota; Metazoa; Chordata; Mammalia; Primates; Hominidae
Description: HSALNT0315788
Source: RNAcentral
AUAAUUAUAAUUGUUAUGUUACAUUAUUGUAUGCCACAGAGGUAACAAAUUUCCUUGUCAAAGUGCCUUUGACUAUAGCUGCCCUAAAACUUUUUGCCAUCCAUGGACAAUUGUUAUCUUGGUUUGAUCGGUUUUAUAAUCAGCUAUAAAAUGCUAACAGGUGCUUUUUAAUGCAGGUUUCUGAUAACUUUGGAGAUUGUGACAUCAGGAUAAAAGAAAACUUUCAGGACUCAUGGAGAGCUGAAAUGUUCAUGAAUGUCAAAUAGAACAGGAAUUAACUGCAUGGACUAAACUAACAGAAGUCCAAAGUAAUCUUUUUAACUUUUUACUUAAAACAUUGGUGAUACUUUGUUUUGUUUUUCAGAGCCGAGAAAACUUUUAUUUUAACCUAUUUACAGCUUUUAAUGAAUGAGUAUACUCCUAUGAACAACAUUUGGAUCAUAUUUGUUUCUCUCUGAUUUCCACAGAAUUUGGAAACUAUUUGAAUCAAACUGACUUAUGGAGCCAAUCAAAGCCCCUUGGAAAAACUGGCCUCAUACCUUUGUCUACAGAGUUCCUGACCUGUGAUGGAGUCUCGCACUGUCACUGCAAUGGCG